CUUGAGGGAGCCCAGCCACAGCGGCCGGUCCGCGGGGCGGUCCUGGCCGUAGGUGGCGAGCAGGGCCUGUGCCUC
Molecule: non-coding RNA, 75 nt
Organism: Streptomyces sp. Mg1
Lineage: Bacteria; Bacillati; Actinomycetota; Actinomycetes; Kitasatosporales; Streptomycetaceae
Rfam family: ASpks TB sRNA
Source: Rfam